UACGGAGGGGGCUAGCGUUGUUCGGAAUUACUGGGCGUAAAGCGCACGUAGGCGGCUUUCUAAGUCGGGGGUGAAAUCCUGGAGCUCAACUCCAGAACUGCCUUCGAUACUGGAGAGCUCGAGUCCGGGAGAGGUGAGUGGAACUGCGAGUGUAGAGGUGAAAUUCGUAGAUAUUCGCAAGAACACCAGUGGCGAAGGCGGCUCACUGGCCCGGUACUGACGCUGAGGUGCGAAAGCGUGGGGAGCAAACAGG
Molecule: ribosomal RNA, 253 nt
Filed under: uncultured bacterium
Lineage: Bacteria
Description: partial 16S ribosomal RNA
Rfam family: Bacterial small subunit ribosomal RNA
Source: RNAcentral